This 501-nucleotide ribosomal RNA is filed under the name uncultured Eubacteriales bacterium. Its description in RNAcentral is "bacterial SSU rRNA". It matches the Rfam family "Bacterial small subunit ribosomal RNA", at positions 12 to 507 of the family's 1533-position model. Lineage: Bacteria; Bacillati; Bacillota; Clostridia; Eubacteriales. The record is from RNAcentral.
UUUGAUCCUGGCUCAGGAUGAACGCUGGCGGCGUGCUUUAACACAUGCAAGUCGAGCGGAGGUAUAUAAUCGGAGAGCUUCGGCAGGAAGAGUAUAUAGCUUAGCGGCGGACGGGUGAGUAACGUGUGGGCAACCUGCCGUAUACAGGGGAAUAAUCAUUGGAAACGAUGACUAAUACCGCAUGUCACCAUUGGGAGGCAUCUCCCGAUGGGAAAAGGAGUAAUCCGGUAUACGAUGGGCCCGCAUCUGAUUAGCUAGUUGGUGAGAUAACAGCUCACCAAGGCAACGAUCAGUAGCCGACCUGAGAGGGUGAUCGGCCACAUUGGGACUGAGACACGGCCCAAACUCCUACGGGAGGCAGCAGUGGGGAAUAUUGCACAAUGGGGGAACCCUGAUGCAGCAACGCCGCGUGAAGGAAGAAGGCUUUCGGGUUGUAAACUUCUAUCAAUAGGGACGAAAAGAAUGACGGUACCUAAAUAAGAAGCCCCGGCUAACUACGUG